RNAcentral lists this ribosomal RNA (256 nucleotides) under uncultured bacterium. RNAcentral's name for it is "partial 16S ribosomal RNA". It matches the Rfam family "Bacterial small subunit ribosomal RNA", at positions 524 to 776 of the family's 1533-position model. The record is from RNAcentral.
UACGGAGGGUGCAAGCGUUAUCCGGAUUCACUGGGUUUAAAGGGUGCGUAGGUGGGUUGGUAAGUCAGUGGUGAAAUCUCCGGGCUUAACUCGGAAACUGCCGUUGAUACUAUCAAUCUUGAAUCUCGUGGAGGUAAGCGGAAUAUGUCAUGUAGCGGUGAAAUGCUUAGAUAUGACAUAGAACACCGAUAGCGAAGGCAGCUUGCUACACGAGUAUUGACACUGAGGCACGAAAAGCGUGGGGGAUCAAAACAGG